GUGCUCACUUUAGCAACACAUAUACUAAAACUGGAAUGAUACAGAAAAGAUUAGCAUGGCCCCUGUGCACGGAUGACACGCAAAUUCAUGACGUGUUUCUUGUUUUU
Small nuclear RNA from Nannospalax galili (Upper Galilee mountains blind mole rat), 107 nucleotides. The record is from Ensembl. NCBI's taxonomy places the organism in Eukaryota, Metazoa, Chordata, Mammalia, Rodentia, Spalacidae.